AAAGUUAUUUCUCUAUUGUUAAUAAAAAAUUUCUGUUCUUAUCAGCUUAAUAUCUGAUAUGUUAGGCAAUGCCUAACUCAUAUAUUAAACUGAUUUUUGGACUUCGGCCAUGGGAUUGAA
Molecule: small RNA, 120 nt
Filed under: Paramuricea clavata
Lineage: Eukaryota; Metazoa; Cnidaria; Anthozoa; Malacalcyonacea; Plexauridae
Description: U2 spliceosomal RNA
Rfam family: U2 spliceosomal RNA
About the family: U2 is a small nuclear RNA (snRNA) component of the spliceosome (involved in pre-mRNA splicing). Complementary binding between U2 snRNA (in an area lying towards the 5' end but 3' to hairpin I) and the branchpoint sequence (BPS) of the intron results the bulging out of an unpaired adenosine, on the BPS, which initiates a nucleophilic attack at the intronic 5' splice site, thus starting the first of two transesterification reactions that mediate splicing.
Source: Rfam by way of RNAcentral